AGGAAGUUAGCUCAGUGGUAGAGCGCCGGACAAACCCGUCCGGAGGUCAUCGGUUCGAGUCCGAUACAUCCUCU
Molecule: transfer RNA, 74 nt
Filed under: Siphoviridae sp. ctEBu1
Lineage: Duplodnaviria; Heunggongvirae; Uroviricota; Caudoviricetes
Also listed under: 1 other name
Description: tRNA-OTHER
Rfam family: tRNA
About the family: Transfer RNA (tRNA) molecules are approximately 80 nucleotides in length. Their secondary structure includes four short double-helical elements and three loops (D, anti-codon, and T loops).
Source: RNAcentral